CGGGGUGAGUAAUGCUUGGGAAUCUAGCUUAUGGAGGGGGAUAACUACGGGAAACUGUAGCUAAUACCGCGUAGUAUCGGAAGAUGAAAGUGUGGGACCUUCGGGCCACAUGCCAUAGGAUGAGCCCAAGUGGGAUUAGGUAGUUGGUGAGGUAAAGGCUCACCAAGCCGACGAUCUCUAGCUGGUCUGAGAGGAUGACCAGCCACACUGGGACUGAGACACGGUCCAG
This 229-nucleotide ribosomal RNA is filed under the name uncultured bacterium. RNAcentral describes it as "partial 16S ribosomal RNA". It matches the Rfam family "Bacterial small subunit ribosomal RNA", at positions 104 to 334 of the family's 1533-position model. The record is from RNAcentral.